RNAcentral lists this ribosomal RNA (503 nucleotides) under uncultured Oscillibacter sp. RNAcentral's name for it is "partial 16S ribosomal RNA". The record is from RNAcentral. Lineage: Bacteria; Bacillati; Bacillota; Clostridia; Eubacteriales; Oscillospiraceae.
CACGUAGUUAGCCGUGGCUUAUUCAAGGGGUACCGUCUUCCGCUCUUCCCCCUUAAAAGAAGUUUACAACCCGAAAGCCUUCUUCCUUCACGCGGCGUUGCUGGGCCAGACUUGCGUCCAUUGCCCAAUAUUCCCCACUGCUGCCUCCCGUAGGAGUCUGGGCCGUAUCUCAGUCCCAAUGUGGCCGGCCAACCUCUCAGUCCGGCUACUGAUCGUCGCCUUGGUGGGCCGUUACCUCACCAACUAGCUAAUCAGACGCGAGGCCAUCUUCCAGCGAUAAAUCUUUGACGUCAGAGUCAUGCGGCUCCAACGCAUCAUGCGGUAUUAGCAGUCGUUUCCAACUGUUCGUCCCCCUCUGGAAGGCAGGUUCCUCACGCGUUACUCACCAGUCCGCCACUAGGCAUUCCCAUCCGUUGUACCGAAAACUCCUUCGAGGGGUGCUCCGUUCGACUUGCAUGUGUUAAGCACGCCGCAGCGUUCGUCUGAGCCAGGAUCGAAACUCU